Molecule: small RNA, 553 nt
Filed under: uncultured fungus
Lineage: Eukaryota; Fungi
Description: eukaryotic LSU rRNA
Rfam family: 5.8S ribosomal RNA (bases 187-341)
Source: RNAcentral
CGGAGGGAUCAUUACCGAGUUCAUGCCCUUACGGGUAGACCUCCCACCCUAUGUCUAUAUUACCUCUUGUUGCUUUGGCGGGCCGCCCGGCUUCGGCCAGGCUACCGGCUCCAGCUGGUAAGCGCUCGCCAGAGGACCCUCAACUCUAGAAUAUCAGUGUCGUCUGAGUACUAUAAAAUAGUUGAAAACUUUCAACAACUGGAUCUCUUGGUUCUGGCAUCGAUGAAGAACGCAGCGAAAUGCGAUAAGUAAUGUGAAUWGCAGAAUUCAGUGAAUCAUCGAAUCUUUGAACGCACAUUGCGCCCCUUGGUAUUCCGAGGGGCAUGCCUGUUCGAGCGUCAUUACAACCCUCAAGCACUGCUUGGUAUUGGGCUCCGCUGGCUCCAGCGGGCCUUAAAAUCAGUGGCGGCGCCGUUUGGGCUCUGAGCGUAGUAAAUAUCCUCGCUAUAGAGACCAGGCGGUUCUUGUCAUCAACCCCCAACUUUCUUAAGUCUGACCUCGAGAUCARGUACGGGAUACCCGCWGAACUUAAGYAUAUCAAUAAGCGGAGGAA